Molecule: ribosomal RNA, 1502 nt
Filed under: Enterococcus durans
Lineage: Bacteria; Bacillati; Bacillota; Bacilli; Lactobacillales; Enterococcaceae
Description: bacterial SSU rRNA
Rfam family: Bacterial small subunit ribosomal RNA
Source: RNAcentral
UCCUGGCUCAGGACGAACGCUGGCGGCGUGCCUAAUACAUGCAAGUCGUACGCUUCUUUUUCCACCGGAGCUUGCUCCACCGGAAAAAGAAGAGUGGCGAACGGGUGAGUAACACGUGGGUAACCUGCCCAUCAGAAGGGGAUAACACUUGGAAACAGGUGCUAAUACCGUAUAACAAUCGAAACCGCAUGGUUUUGAUUUGAAAGGCGCUUUCGGGUGUCGCUGAUGGAUGGACCCGCGGUGCAUUAGCUAGUUGGUGAGGUAACGGCUCACCAAGGCCACGAUGCAUAGCCGACCUGAGAGGGUGAUCGGCCACAUUGGGACUGAGACACGGCCCAAACUCCUACGGGAGGCAGCAGUAGGGAAUCUUCGGCAAUGGACGAAAGUCUGACCGAGCAACGCCGCGUGAGUGAAGAAGGUUUUCGGAUCGUAAAACUCUGUUGUUAGAGAAGAACAAGGAUGAGAGUAACUGUUCAUCCCUUGACGGUAUCUAACCAGAAAGCCACGGCUAACUACGUGCCAGCAGCCGCGGUAAUACGUAGGUGGCAAGCGUUGUCCGGAUUUAUUGGGCGUAAAGCGAGCGCAGGCGGUUUCUUAAGUCUGAUGUGAAAGCCCCCGGCUCAACCGGGGAGGGUCAUUGGAAACUGGGAGACUUGAGUGCAGAAGAGGAGAGUGGAAUUCCAUGUGUAGCGGUGAAAUGCGUAGAUAUAUGGAGGAACACCAGUGGCGAAGGCGGCUCUCUGGUCUGUAACUGACGCUGAGGCUCGAAAGCGUGGGGAGCAAACAGGAUUAGAUACCCUGGUAGUCCACGCCGUAAACGAUGAGUGCUAAGUGUUGGAGGGUUUCCGCCCUUCAGUGCUGCAGCUAACGCAUUAAGCACUCCGCCUGGGGAGUACGACCGCAAGGUUGAAACUCAAAGGAAUUGACGGGGGCCCGCACAAGCGGUGGAGCAUGUGGUUUAAUUCGAAGCAACGCGAAGAACCUUACCAGGUCUUGACAUCCUUUGACCACUCUAGAGAUAGAGCUUCCCCUUCGGGGGCAAAGUGACAGGUGGUGCAUGGUUGUCGUCAGCUCGUGUCGUGAGAUGUUGGGUUAAGUCCCGCAACGAGCGCAACCCUUAUUGUUAGUUGCCAUCAUUYAGUUGGGCACUCUAGCAAGACUGCCGGUGACAAACCGGAGGAAGGUGGGGAUGACGUCAAAUCAUCAUGCCCCUUAUGACCUGGGCUACACACGUGCUACAAUGGGAAGUACAACGAGUCGCGAAGUCGCGAGGCUAAGCUAAUCUCUUAAAGCUUCUCUCAGUUCGGAUUGUAGGCUGCAACUCGCCUACAUGAAGCCGGAAUCGCUAGUAAUCGCGGAUCAGCACGCCGCGGUGAAUACGUUCCCGGGCCUUGUACACACCGCCCGUCACACCACGAGAGUUUGUAACACCCGAAGUCGGUGAGGUAACCUUUUGGAGCCAGCCGCCUAAGGUGGGAUAGAUGAUUGGGGUGAAGUCGUAA